GCGGAAGUAGUUCAAUGGUAGAACCUUAGCCUUCCAAGCUAAUGACGCGGGUUCGAUUCCCGUCUUCCGCUCCA
Molecule: transfer RNA, 74 nt
Filed under: Burkholderiaceae bacterium
Lineage: Bacteria; Pseudomonadati; Pseudomonadota; Betaproteobacteria; Burkholderiales; Burkholderiaceae
Description: tRNA-Gly
Rfam family: tRNA
About the family: Transfer RNA (tRNA) molecules are approximately 80 nucleotides in length. Their secondary structure includes four short double-helical elements and three loops (D, anti-codon, and T loops).
Source: RNAcentral